AGUGAACGCUGGCGGUAGGCCUAACACAUGCAAGUCGAACGGCAGCACAGUAAGAGCUUGCUCUUACGGGUGGCGAGUGGCGGACGGGUGAGGAAUACAUCGGAAUCUACUUUUUAGUGGGGGAUAACGUAGGGAAACUUACGCUAAUACCGCAUACGACCUACGGGUGAAAGAAGGGGAUCUUCGGACCUUGCGCGAUUGAAUGAGCCGAUGUCGGAUUAGCUAGUUGGCGGGGGAAAGGCCCACCAAGGCGACGAUCCGUAGCUGGUCUGAGAGGAUGAUCAGCCACACUGGAACUGAGACACGGUCCAGACUCCUACGGUAGGCAGCAGUGGGGAAUAUUGGACAAUGGGCGCAAGCCUGAUCCAGCCAUACCGCGUGGGUGAAGAAGGCCUUCGGGUUGUAAAGCCCUUUUGUUGGGAAAGAAAAGCAGCAGGUUAAUACCCCGCUGUUCUGACGGUACCCAAAGAAUAAGCACCGGCUAACUUCGUG
Molecule: ribosomal RNA, 492 nt
Filed under: uncultured bacterium
Lineage: Bacteria
Description: partial 16S ribosomal RNA
Rfam family: Bacterial small subunit ribosomal RNA
Source: RNAcentral